This 29-nucleotide non-coding RNA is filed under the name Mus musculus (house mouse). The record is from RNAcentral. Lineage: Eukaryota; Metazoa; Chordata; Mammalia; Rodentia; Muridae.
GACUUCAUACCUAGGCAUCGAUUCCUAGA